This 467-nucleotide ribosomal RNA is filed under the name uncultured bacterium. Its description in RNAcentral is "partial 16S ribosomal RNA". It matches the Rfam family "Bacterial small subunit ribosomal RNA", at positions 28 to 507 of the family's 1533-position model. The record is from RNAcentral.
GACGAACGCUGGCGGCGUGCUUAACACAUGCAAGUCGAACGGAAAGGCCCCUUUUGGGGGGUGCUCGAGUGGCGAACGGGUGAGUAACACGUGAGUAACCUGUCCUUUUCUCUGGGGUAACUUCAGGAAACUGGGGCUAAUAUCGGAUAGGAGCUCCUGCUGCAUGGUGUGGGUUGGAGAGUUUCGGCGGUUGGGGAUGGACUCGCGGCUUAUCAGCUUGUUUGUGGGGGAGUGGCUUACCCAGGCUUUGACGGGUAUCCGGGCUGAGGGGGUGACCGGGCACAUUGGGACUGGGAUACGGCCCAGACUCCCUCGGGAGGCAGGAGUGGGGGAUAUUGCACCAUGGGUGGAAGCCUGAUGCAGGAAAGCCGUGUUCGGGAUGACGGCCUUCGGGUUGGAAACCGCUUUCGCUCAUGACGAAGCUGUGUGUGACGGUAGUGGGUAAAGAAGCACCGGCUAACUACGUG